This 76-nucleotide transfer RNA is filed under the name Pseudomonadota bacterium. RNAcentral describes it as "Proteobacteria bacterium (wastewater metagenome) tRNA-Ala". It matches the Rfam family "tRNA". From Rfam's summary of the family: Transfer RNA (tRNA) molecules are approximately 80 nucleotides in length. Their secondary structure includes four short double-helical elements and three loops (D, anti-codon, and T loops). The record is from RNAcentral. Lineage: Bacteria; Pseudomonadati; Pseudomonadota. RNAcentral also lists the same sequence under 2 other names.
GGGCCUGUAGCUCAGUUGGGAGAGCACCUGAUUUGCAUUCAGGGGGUCGCAGGUUCAACUCCUGUCAGGUCCACCA